AGUGAACGCUGGCGGUAGGCCUAACACAUGCAAGUCGAACGGCAGCACAGUAAGAGCUUGCUCUUACGGGUGGCGAGUGGCGGACGGGUGAGGAAUACAUCGGAAUCUACUUUUUCGUGGGGGAUAACGUAGGGAAACUUACGCUAAUACCGCAUACGACCUACGGGUGAAAGCAGGGGAUCUUCGGACCUUGCGCGAUUGAAUGAGCCGAUGUCGGAUUAGCUAGUUGGCGGGGUAAAGGCCCACCAAGGCGACGAUCCGUAGCUGGUCUGAGAGGAUGAUCAGCCACACUGGAACUGAGACACGGUCCAGACUCCUACGGGAGGCAGCAGUGGGGAAUAUUGGACAAUGGGCGCAAGCCUGAUCCAGCCAUACCGGGUGGGUGAAGAAGGCCUUCGGGUUGUAAAGCCCUUUUGUUGGGAAAGAAAAGCAGCAGGUUAAUACCCCGCUGUUCUGGCGGUACCCAAAGAAUAAGCACCGGCUAACUUCGUG
Molecule: ribosomal RNA, 492 nt
Filed under: uncultured bacterium
Lineage: Bacteria
Description: partial 16S ribosomal RNA
Rfam family: Bacterial small subunit ribosomal RNA
Source: RNAcentral